CGGGGCGUGGCUGAGAUAGUUAAGCACCUCCCUUACACCGAGAAGACAUCCAUGCAAACUGGAUCGCCCCGA
This 72-nucleotide transfer RNA is filed under the name Labigastromyzon changtingensis tungpeiensis. Its description in RNAcentral is "Pseudogastromyzon changtingensis tungpeiensis tRNA-Val". It matches the Rfam family "tRNA". From Rfam's summary of the family: Transfer RNA (tRNA) molecules are approximately 80 nucleotides in length. Their secondary structure includes four short double-helical elements and three loops (D, anti-codon, and T loops). Lineage: Eukaryota; Metazoa; Chordata; Actinopteri; Cypriniformes; Gastromyzontidae. The record is from RNAcentral.